RNAcentral lists this ribosomal RNA (446 nucleotides) under uncultured bacterium. Its description in RNAcentral is "SSU rRNA". It matches the Rfam family "Bacterial small subunit ribosomal RNA", at positions 26 to 518 of the family's 1533-position model. The record is from RNAcentral.
AGAGCGAACGCUGGCGGCAGGCUUAACACAUGCAAGUCGAGCGGGCGUAGCAAUACGUCAGCGGCAGACGGGUGAGUAACGCGUGGGAACGUACCUUUUGGUUCGGAACAACCCAGGGAAACUUGGGCUAAUACCGGAUAAGCCCUUACGGGGAAAGAUUUAUCGCCGAAAGAUCGGCCCGCGUCUGAUUAGCUAGUUGGUGGGGUAAUGGCCCACCAAGGCGACGAUCAGUAGCUGGUCUGAGAGGAUGAUCAGCCACAUUGGGACUGAGACACGGCCCAAACUCCUACGGGAGGCAGCAGUGGGGAAUAUUGGACAAUGGGCGCAAGCCUGAUCCAGCCAUGCCGCGUGAGUGAUGAAGGCCCUAGGGUUGUAAAGCUCUUUGUGCGGGAAGAUAAUGACGGUACCGCAAGAAUAAGCCCCGGCUAACUCGUGCCAGCAGCCGC